Molecule: ribosomal RNA, 157 nt
Filed under: uncultured fungus
Lineage: Eukaryota; Fungi
Description: 5.8S ribosomal RNA
Rfam family: 5.8S ribosomal RNA
About the family: 5.8S ribosomal RNA (5.8S rRNA) is a component of the large subunit of the eukaryotic ribosome. It is transcribed by RNA polymerase I as part of the 45S precursor that also contains 18S and 28S rRNA.
Source: RNAcentral
AAACUUUCGACAACGGAUCUCUUGGUUCUGGCAUCGAUGAAGAACGCAGCGAAAUGCGAUAAGUAAUGUGAAUUGCAGAAUUCAGUGAAUCAUCGAAUCUUUGAACGCACAUUGCGCCCCUUGGUAUUCCGAGGGGCAUGCCUGUUCGAGCGUCAUU